CCGGCUACGUAAACUCCUCAGCAAGGAGAACGCCAGGGACAGCGGAAGUGGCAGCGCGGGUCUCUGGAGAGUGUAGUCUUUGGGAUGGAGAGGUGGUGGGCGAGCAGGCUUCGCCAACGGCCGGGUGACUCUGGCAUCUGCACCUCUCAUGCAACGAAGCUUAGGAGCUCACGUUAAGAUGCCCAGACCAAAAGGUGCACAUGUUUCUUCUCCGAGGGCCAGUGAGAUCCCGCGGACCACGAGAGAGUCGCAGAAAUGCCCGAAGAUUCUAGAAAAUGUGGUCCUGGCGCCCCGCCGGUGUUACGGAGGCAGGUGGACAGACUGUGCGCGCUGACCUUCAGCGGUACGGGGAAGGAAAAGGGGCUGGAGGUUGAAUGAGUCAAUCACUUGUUCAUGCCUGUGUAACGAAGCCUCCAUAAAAAAACAAAAAGAUGGGAGUUUGGAGAGCUUCCAGGUUGAUGAAGACUCGGGGAGAGUGGUGCGCUCAGCAUGAAAGCUCUGUGACCCUUCCCCAUACCUUGCCCUAUGCAUCUCUUCCAUGUGGCUGUUCCUAUAUUAUCCUUCUAUAAUAAAAUGGUAAUCUGUAUAUGUGCUGCUGAAGGGAGCAAGGUGUGAGGUAGAGAUGUAACCAUUUUUUCCCCCGGAUGGAUAUUUCUCCAAAGAAGACAUACAGAUCACCAAAAGACACAGGAAAAGAUGCUCAUCAUCACUCAUCAUCAGGAA
Molecule: long non-coding RNA, 723 nt
Organism: Zalophus californianus (California sea lion)
Lineage: Eukaryota; Metazoa; Chordata; Mammalia; Carnivora; Otariidae
Exons: 3
Source: RefSeq, a predicted model, not a curated record